Molecule: long non-coding RNA, 344 nt
Filed under: Lactuca sativa (garden lettuce)
Lineage: Eukaryota; Viridiplantae; Streptophyta; Magnoliopsida; Asterales; Asteraceae
Description: long non-coding RNA (LSAT_LNC008326)
Source: RNAcentral
UUCUCUUUCUGACGGUCUCCUAUUUAGUUGCUUCCCACCUACUACCAAUCACACUUUGCUAACUAGCUUCACUUCCUCUCCUCCAUGGCUACCUUCGCCGCCCUCUUCCUCAUCCUCUAUACUCUCUCCGUCGCCACAACCGUAGAACCUUCCCCCUCUCCAGAUCUAGUCCGUUCCUCAUGCCUACACGCCACCUUCCCGAAGGUCUGUGUCACCAGCCUCACCUUAUACAAAGGCCCCGUCACUACCCCACGGGAGCUAGCACAGGCCGCCAUCAAAGUCAGCCUCUCUCGAGCCUCCAAGGCGUCCGACUUUCUUUCCGGCCUGCAGAAGGAGGCGAACAA